This 439-nucleotide ribosomal RNA is filed under the name uncultured bacterium. RNAcentral describes it as "partial 16S ribosomal RNA". It matches the Rfam family "Bacterial small subunit ribosomal RNA", at positions 339 to 795 of the family's 1533-position model. The record is from RNAcentral.
CUACGGGUCGCACCAGUGAGGAAUAUUGCACAAUGGGGGGAACCCUGAUGCAGCAACGCCGCGUGGAGGAUGACGCAUUUCGGUGUGUAAACUCCUUUUAUAUGUCAAGAAAAUGACGGUAGCAUAUGAAUAAGCACCGGCUAACUCCGUGCCAGCAGCCGCGGUAAUACGGAGGGUGCAAGCGUUACUCGGAAUCACUGGGCGUAAAGGACGCGUAGGCGGGUUGGAAAGUCAGGUGUGAAAUCCUACAGCUUAACUGUGGAACUGCACUUGAAACUACGAGCCUAGAGUAUGGGAGGGGCAGAUGGAAUUAGUGGUGUAGGGGUAAAAUCCGUAGAUAUCACUAGGAAUACCUAAAGCGAAGGCGAUCUGCUGGAACAUAACUGACGCUAAGGCGUGAAAGCGUGGGGAGCUAACAGGAUUAGAUACCCCUGUAGUC